This 893-nucleotide ribosomal RNA is filed under the name uncultured Planctomycetales bacterium. RNAcentral's name for it is "SSU rRNA". It matches the Rfam family "Bacterial small subunit ribosomal RNA", at positions 8 to 916 of the family's 1533-position model. The record is from RNAcentral. Lineage: Bacteria; Pseudomonadati; Planctomycetota; Planctomycetia; Planctomycetales.
AGAGUUUGAUCCUGGCUCAGAAUGAACGUUGGCGGCGUGGAUUAGGCAUGCAAGUCGAACGGGCCGCAAGGCCAGUGGCGCAAGGGUGAGUAAGGCGACGGUAACCAACCCCACGAUUGGGUAUAGCCGCGGGAAACCGCGGGUAAUCCCCAGCGACGCAACGACACCGGCCUCGGUGUUUUGCCAAAGCUUCGGCGUCGUGGGACGGGCUGUCGUGGUAUUAGCUUGUUGGCGGGGUAAUGGCCCACCAAGGCGGCGAUGCCUACCGGGCGUGCGAGCGCGACCCGGCACACUGGGACUGAGACACUGCCCAGACUCCUACGGGAGGCUGCAGUCGAGAAUCUUCGGCAAUGGGCGCAAGCCUGACCGAGCGACGCCGCGUGGAGGACGAAGGCCUUCGGGUUGUAAACUCCUGUCGAGGGGGAAGAAGGCUCCGCAAGGGGCUUGACUGAUCCCUGGAGGAAGCACGGGCUAAGUUCGUGCCAGCAGCCGCGGUAAGACGAACCGUGCGAACGUUAUUCGGAAUCACUGGGCUUAAAGCGCGUGUAGGCGGAUGAGCACGUCUGUCGCUGAAAUCCCCCGGCUCAACCGGGGAACGGGCGCGGAUACGGCUUGUCUGGAGGGGCGUAGGGGGACCUGGAACUUCCGGUGGAGCGGUGAAAUGCGUUGAGAUCGGAAGGAACGCCCGUGGCGAAAGCGAGGUCCUGGACGCCUACUGACGCUGAGACGCGAAAGCCAGGGGAGCGAACGGGAUUAGAUACCCCGGUAGUCCUGGCCGUAAACGAUGGGCACUGGGUAGGGGGCUCGCCGAUGGGCUCCCUGCCGUAGGGAAACCGUGAAGUGCCCCGCCUGGGGAGUAUGGUCGCAAGGCUGAAACUUAAAGGAAUUGACGG